UCGUUGUCCUCCCUUGUCGCUUCGUCUGCCGUGAUGACUAAUGCUUCCGUGUCCUGCAACGGGGAGUCGGACUUUUCAUUUCCCCCCGGCUGUUUCUGUAGGACGGAUAGUGCGCG
This 116-nucleotide non-coding RNA is filed under the name Polytomella parva. The record is from RNAcentral. Lineage: Eukaryota; Viridiplantae; Chlorophyta; Chlorophyceae; Chlamydomonadales; Chlamydomonadaceae.